RNAcentral lists this ribosomal RNA (508 nucleotides) under uncultured bacterium. Its description in RNAcentral is "bacterial SSU rRNA". It matches the Rfam family "Bacterial small subunit ribosomal RNA", at positions 28 to 528 of the family's 1533-position model. The record is from RNAcentral.
GAUGAACGCUAGCGGGAGGCUUAACACAUGCAAGUCGAGGGGCAUCACGAGGUAGCAAUACUUUGGUGGCGACCGGCGCACGGGUGAGUAACACGUAUGCAACCUACCCUGUACAGGGGGAUAACCCGGAGAAAUUCGGACUAAUAUUCCAUAAUGAUAUUUUAGGGCAUCCUUUAAUAUUUAAAGCUUUGGCGGUACAGGAUGGGCAUGCGCAACAUUAGCUAGUUGGGAGGGUAACGGCCUACCAAGGCUAUGAUGUUUAGGGGACCUGAGAGGGUGAUCCCCCACACUGGUACUGAGACACGGACCAGACUCCUACGGGAGGCAGCAGUGAGGAAUAUUGGUCAAUGGGCGGAAGCCUGAACCAGCCAUCCCGCGUGCAGGAAGACAGCCCUAUGGGUUGUAAACUGCUUUUCCAGUGGGCGAACCCCUCGUACGUGUACGGGAUUGACGGUACACUGGGAAUAAGCAUCGGCUAACUCCGUGCCAGCAGCCGCGGUAAAAGUGU